RNAcentral lists this ribosomal RNA (849 nucleotides) under uncultured marine bacterium. RNAcentral describes it as "bacterial SSU rRNA". It matches the Rfam family "Bacterial small subunit ribosomal RNA", at positions 42 to 888 of the family's 1533-position model. The record is from RNAcentral.
CCAGGGCGAGGCUACCAUGCAGUGAGGGGUAACAUUACUGCUUGCAGUAGAUGACGACCGGCGCACGGGUGAGUAACGCGUAUGCAACCUGCCUUGUACAGGGGGAUAGCCCGGAGAAAUCCGGAUUAAUACCGCAUAAUAUGAUUGAUUCGCAUGGAUUAAUUAUUAAACCUUCGGGGGUACAAGAUGGGCAUGCGUAGCAUUAGCUUGUUGGUGAGGUAACGGCUCACCAAGGCGAUGAUGCUUAGGGGGUCUGAGAGGAUAGUCCCCCACACUGGUACUGAGACACGGACCAGACUCCUACGGGAGGCAGCAGUGAGGAAUAUUGGUCAAUGGACGCAAGUCUGAACCAGCCAUGUCGCGUGCAGGAUGACGGCCCUAUGGGUUGUAAACUGCUUUUUUACGGGAAUAAACUUAGCUACGUGUAGUUAACUGAAGGUACCGUAUGAAUAAGGAUCGGCUAACUCCGUGCCAGCAGCCGCGGUAAUACGGAGGAUUCGAGCGUUAUCCGGAUUUAUUGGGUUUAAAGGGUCCGUAGGCGGGCCUAUAAGUCAGUGGUGAAAUCUUACGGCUCAACCGUGAAACUGCCAUUGAUACUGCAGGUCUUGAAUAUAGUUGAGGUGGGCGGAAUACGUUAUGUAGCGGUGAAAUGCAUAGAUAUAACGUAGAACACCGAUUGCGAAGGCAGCUCACUAAGCUAUUAUUGACGCUGAUGGACGAAAGCGUGGGGAGCGAACAGGAUUAGAUACCCUGGUAGUCCACGCCGUAAACGAUGAUUACUCGUUGUGCGCGAUACACAGUGCGCGACUGAGCGAAAGCAUUAAGUAAUCCACCUGGGGAGUACGUUGG